Long non-coding RNA from Suricata suricatta (meerkat), 335 nucleotides. RefSeq lists it as uncharacterized. NCBI's taxonomy places the organism in Eukaryota, Metazoa, Chordata, Mammalia, Carnivora, Herpestidae. The record is from RefSeq and is a predicted model, not a curated record. The transcript is spliced from 3 exons.
CUGCAUUUUGGGGAGUGAAUGAGCAGAAUCAGGUUGCUGGUGCAACAUCGUCUAGCUUUUCCUAGCUAGAGAUGAAAGAGUCCCAAGUAACUGAGAUUUGAUUAUGGUCAUUCACGAUGGGGUAUUAGUGGCAUUGGACCUCUCCCCUCUCCAUGCUUAUGAUUGUGGGCUUCUUUGGCUAACAAAAGGCAUACUCCCACCCCAGGACCUUUGUACCUGCGAUUUCCUCUGCCAGCGACACUUCCCGGACCUCACGUGGCUUCAUCCUCAUCUCCUGAAGGCCUCUGCUCAAGUGUCACCAUCCCAGUGAGGCCUGCCCUCACUGUCCUGUUUAA